Molecule: transfer RNA, 73 nt
Filed under: Myxococcales bacterium
Lineage: Bacteria; Pseudomonadati; Myxococcota; Myxococcia; Myxococcales
Also listed under: 1 other name
Description: tRNA-Lys
Rfam family: tRNA
About the family: Transfer RNA (tRNA) molecules are approximately 80 nucleotides in length. Their secondary structure includes four short double-helical elements and three loops (D, anti-codon, and T loops). Further hydrogen bonds mediate the characteristic L-shaped molecular structure. tRNAs have two regions of fundamental functional importance: the anti-codon, which is responsible for specific mRNA codon recognition, and the 3' end, to which the tRNAs corresponding amino acid is attached (by aminoacyl-tRNA synthetases). tRNAs cope with the degeneracy of the genetic code in two manners: having more than one tRNA (with a specific anti-codon) for a particular amino acid; and 'wobble' base-pairing, i.e. permitting non-standard base-pairing at the 3rd anti-codon position.
Source: RNAcentral
GGGUCGAUGGCAGAGCUGGUGAUGCACCGGAUUCUUAAUCCGACCGACGCAGGUUCGAGUCCUGUUCGACCCA